UGAACGCUGGCGGCGUGCCUAAUACAUGCACGUCGAGCGAACGGACGAGAUGCUUGCUUCUCUGAUGUUAGCGGCGGACGGGUGAGUAACACGUGGAUAACCUACCUAUAAGACUGGGAUAACUUCGGGAAACCGGAGCUAAUACCGGAUAAUAUUUUGAACCGCAUGGUUCAAAAGUGAAAGACGGUCUUGCUGUCACUUAUAGAUGGAUCCGCGCUGCAUUAGCUAGUUGGUAAGGUAACGGCUUACCAAGGCAACGAUGCAUAGCCGACCUGAGAGGGUGAUCGGCCACACUGGAACUGAGACACGGUCCAGACUCCUACGGGAGGCAGCAGUAGGGAAUCUUCCGCAAAGGGCGAAAGCCUGACGGAGCAACGCCGCGUGAGUGAUGAAGGUCUUCGGAUCGUAAAACUCUGUUAUUAGGGAAGAACAUAUGUGUAAGUAACUGUGCACAUCUUGACGGUACCUAAUCAGAAAGCCACGGCUAACUACGUG
Molecule: ribosomal RNA, 495 nt
Filed under: uncultured bacterium
Lineage: Bacteria
Description: partial 16S ribosomal RNA
Rfam family: Bacterial small subunit ribosomal RNA
Source: RNAcentral